RNAcentral lists this long non-coding RNA (2240 nucleotides) under Podarcis lilfordi (Lilford's wall lizard). Lineage: Eukaryota; Metazoa; Chordata; Lepidosauria; Squamata; Lacertidae. The record is from RNAcentral.
CAAUGAUUCUUCAACAUCAACUUCGUUGGACUGGUCAUGUUGUUCAUAUGCCUGAUUGGUGUCUUCCAAAUCAACUACUCUAUUCCGAACUUAAAAAUGGAAAGCAUAAUGCUGGUGGUAAACAAAAGAGGUUUAAAGACUGUCUCAAGGCAAAUCUAAAAAAAUGUAGUGUAAACACCGACAACUGGGAAACACUGGCCUGCAAGCGCUCCAGUUGGAGAACAGCCUUUACCGAAGGUGUCAUGGGCUUUGAAGACACUCGAACUCAGGACAAAAGGGAGAAACGUGCUAAGAGGAAGGCAUGCUUGGCAAAUCCACAACAUGAUCAACUCCCACCCAGAAACCAAUGUCCCCACUGUGGAAGGACGUGUGGAUCCAGAAUUGGCCCCCAUAGUAAAGGUAAAGGGUAAAGGGACUCCUGACCAUCAGGUCCAGUCGUGGCCGACUCUGGGGUUGCAGUGCUCAUCUUGCUUUAUUGGCCGAGGGAGCCGGCGUACAGCUUCCGGGUCAUGUGGCCAGCAUGACUAAGCCGCUUCUGGUGAACCAGAGCAGCGCACGGAAACGCCGUUUACCUUCCUGCCAGAGCUGUACCUAUUUAUCUACUUGCACUUUGACGUGCUUUCUAACUGCUAGGUUGGCAGGAGCAGGGACCGAGCAACGGGAGUUCACCCCAUCACAGGGAUUUGAACCGCCGACCUUCUGAUCGGCAAGUCCUAGGCUCUGUGGUUUAACCCACAGCACCACCCUUGUCCCAGCCUCCAUAGUAGGGCGGUUCAUAAAAAAACACUUUUUUUAAAAAAAAUGCCUGCUCCAAACGUCUUAUUUUACUACACUAGGGAUUAUAUAGGUAUAUCUGAGAUUUCAUCCAUAUCAGUUAAUAUCUUGACCCUCCGCCACGAAAAUAGCUGUUUACUUGGCCAUUUUCCUAUGUCGUGAAGGCUGAAAUUUCAAUUCAGUGGAGCAGGGUCAAGAUAUUAACUGAUAUGCAUGAAAUUUCAUAUAUAUCUAUAUAAUCCCUAGUGUAGCAAGAUAAGAGCUUUGGAGCAGGUAUUUAAAAAAUAAAUAAAUUAUGAACCGCCCUACUCCACAGUCACUUAAGGACUCACUUUUAAGAUUGUGUUCAUGGAAGACAAUCUUACACACCUACGAGUGAUCACCAAAAAAGAGUCUAGAAGUAUCUGAAGGGCUUCAGAUUCCUUACUCCUGUGUUAUGGUGCGAACAGCAUUUUGGAAGUCCCUGCCUAUUGCAAACAAGCAACCACCUUCACUGUACUCUUUUUGGUCCCUACCUAAAACAUUCUCCCUUAGACUAGCCUACCCAGAUGCUUAGAAUGUUGGUAUAAUUCUAAUCUGGUUUACCAUUUUAACUUUUGUAUGUUUUAAGGUACGGUUGUGAAUUUUUUCUCGAUUUUAUUGUUUCAUCUCUUUGCAAAGUUCUCUGAGGUUCACAACAAUCAAGGGCGGGUAAAUUUUAUAAAAUAAAUCAAUAAAUGUGCAAAGGUUGGACUAGAUGAUCCUUGGGUCCAUUCCAACUCAAUCAGAUGGGUGGUAUAUAAAUAAUUAUUAUUAUUAUUAUUAUUAUUAUUAUUAUUCCACGAUUCUAUGACCAGGCCACCCUGUUGAGAUACUUUCGAUUAAAUGGCUUAAACCUCAUUGGUUUACAAAUAAAUCAAGUUGAUGAUGAUACCUUUGAUUACUCCCCGCAUCUAUCAUGCCUAUUGCAAAUUCUUUCCAUUCAUUGUAUGAUUGUGGCCCAUUUCAUCCUUUUUUAAAAUCAAUAACGUGUUAUUGAUAUCAUCAAAGCCUUUUCCCUCAUUUCCUGUAAUGGUGUCAUUAAAUGCUUGCUGCCAAGUUUAUUUCCUUGCUUAUAAUCAAUUGUGUCUGGAUUAUGUAACUGAAGCAGAAACAAACAUUUUCUGACAUUUCAGAGUUGGAAACAGAGAUGAACUUGCAACACCUCAAUUUAUAUACCCAGGACCAGUCCCCAAAUGCAGAGGCCCAUUGCUACACAUGCCUGAAGGCCAAAGGACCUUCUACUUCAGCAUCCUACUAAGUUCAAUAUAUCUACUCUGAGCAGGACUAGUCCUGGAUACAGUGGUACCUUGGUUCUCAAACACCUUGGUUCCCAAAUGCCAAAAACCCUGGAAGUGCUCUGGUUUUCAAACGAUUUUCGGAAGCCGAACGUCCGAAACGGUUGUCAGCUAUUGUUUCCGGGACACCUGCACCAAUCAGAAGCUGCG